GGUAGGGUGGCCGAGGGUGAGGGCGGCGUGUUGUAGCCUCGUUUACGGGGGUUAGAGUCCCCAGACUACCA
This 71-nucleotide transfer RNA is filed under the name Haemodracon trachyrhinus. Its description in RNAcentral is "tRNA-Tyr". It matches the Rfam family "tRNA". Rfam says of the family: Transfer RNA (tRNA) molecules are approximately 80 nucleotides in length. Their secondary structure includes four short double-helical elements and three loops (D, anti-codon, and T loops). The record is from RNAcentral. Lineage: Eukaryota; Metazoa; Chordata; Lepidosauria; Squamata; Phyllodactylidae.